CCUACGGGCGGCAGCAGUGAGGAAUAUUGGUCAAUGGACGAGAGUCUGAACCAGCCAAGUAGCGUGAAGGAUGACUGCCCUAUGGGUUGUAAACUUCUUUUAUAUGGGAAUAAAAUGUUCCACGUGUGGGAUUUUGUAUGUACCAUAUGAAUAAGGAUCGGCUAACUCCGUGCCAGCAGCCGCGGUAAUACGGAGGAUCCGAGCGUUAUCCGGAUUUAUUGGGUUUAAAGGGAGCGUAGGUGGAUUGGUAAGUCAGUUGUGAAAGGUUGCGGCUCAACCGUAAAAUUGCAGUUGAAACUGGCAGUCUUGAGUACAGUAGAGGUGGGCGGAAGUAGUGGUGUAGCGGUGAAAUGCUUAGAUAUCACGAAGAACUCAGAUUGCGAAGGCAGCUCACUGGACUGCAACUGACACUGAGGCUCGAAAGUGUGGGUAUCAAACAGGAUUAGAUACCCUUGUAGUC
RNAcentral lists this ribosomal RNA (460 nucleotides) under uncultured bacterium. RNAcentral's name for it is "partial 16S ribosomal RNA". It matches the Rfam family "Bacterial small subunit ribosomal RNA", at positions 338 to 795 of the family's 1533-position model. The record is from RNAcentral.